GCGCCUUUAGCUCAAUUGGUAGAGCAAAUGACUCUUAAUCAUUAGGUUCCGGGUUCGAGUCCCGGAGGGCGCACAA
This 76-nucleotide transfer RNA is filed under the name Glutamicibacter soli. Its description in RNAcentral is "tRNA-Lys". It matches the Rfam family "tRNA". From Rfam's summary of the family: Transfer RNA (tRNA) molecules are approximately 80 nucleotides in length. Their secondary structure includes four short double-helical elements and three loops (D, anti-codon, and T loops). The record is from RNAcentral. Lineage: Bacteria; Bacillati; Actinomycetota; Actinomycetes; Micrococcales; Micrococcaceae. RNAcentral also lists the same sequence under 3 other names.